RNAcentral lists this ribosomal RNA (415 nucleotides) under uncultured microorganism. RNAcentral's name for it is "bacterial SSU rRNA". It matches the Rfam family "Bacterial small subunit ribosomal RNA", at positions 9 to 421 of the family's 1533-position model. The record is from RNAcentral.
GAGUUUGAUCAUGGCUCAGAUUGAACGCUGGCGGCAUGCCUUACACAUGCAAGUCGAACGGCAGCAUGAUCUAGCUUGCUAGAUUGAUGGCGAGUGGCGAACGGGUGAGUAAUACAUCGGAACGUGCCCUGUAGUGGGGGAUAACUAGUCGAAAGAUUAGCUAAUACCGCAUACGACCUGAGGGUGAAAGUGGGGACCGCAAGGCCUCAUGCUAUAGGAGCGGCCGAUGUCUGAUUAGCUAGUUGGUGGGGUAAAGGCCCACCAAGGCGACGAUCAGUAGCUGGUCUGAGAGGACGAUCAGCCACACUGGGACUGAGACACGGCCCAGACUCCUACGGGGGGCAGCAGUGGGGAAUUUUGGACAAUGGGCGAAAGCCUGAUCCAGCAAUGCCGCGUGUGUGAAGAAGGCCUUCGG